This 552-nucleotide unclassified non-coding RNA is filed under the name Hevea brasiliensis (rubber tree). The record is from RNAcentral. Lineage: Eukaryota; Viridiplantae; Streptophyta; Magnoliopsida; Malpighiales; Euphorbiaceae.
GAGAGCAUACAGCAAGCUGGGUAUAUAGAGGAACUACCUGGAGAGUAAGAGACUGAUAGGUUAGGUGAUUCAGGCAACACAGUGCAUACAAACUUGUCCGCAUUGGGAAUGAAUGGAUCUAAUAAAUUAGUAGUACUGCUUCUCAGCAGCAACUAUUAUACAUAUGAACAAGUUAUAAGCAUGCAACAGGCAAAUUUAAUUUAGACUGAACAAAUUGUAGGAAUCAAAAGAAACAAGAGCUCCAAAUAUACACAUAUAUACUCACCUGGGAAACAAGUACGUUAAUGCCUGCAUGCUUAGCAUCCCAUCCAAAUUCAGCGAAACUACCACCGCUAUACGUGACACCAUCUAUAUUUCUUACUAAGAUUUUGCUUAAAUGUUUUGCGUUAUCCACAACAUAGUUCCAGUAAUUAGGUGCCUUAGUGGCCCUAUAUAACCAUGCGGCUCCCCAGACCAAUUCAUCCUCGUAGCCACUGAAAUCACAGUAAAAUGGGCACACCCAUUGUCCAAGACUAACAUUGUAAGAUCCGCGGUAAGUAUCUGCAAAAUAAA